UAAUGCAUAGAUAAUGUGCCCCUUAGUUCGGGAUAGCCACUGGAAACGGUGAUUAAUACCGGAUACUCCUUCUUGUUAUAAGACAAGUCGGGAAAGUUUUUCGCUAAGGGAUCAGUCUAUGUUCCAUCAGCUUGUUGGUGAGGUAAUGGCUCACCAAGGCUAUGACGGAUAUCUGGUUUGAGAGGAUGAUCAGACACACUGGAACUGAGACACGGUCCAGACUCCUACGGGAGGCAGCAGUGAGGAAUAUUGCACAAUGGAGGAAACUCUGAUGCAGCAACGCCGCGUGGAGGAUGACGCAUUUCGGUGUGUAAACUCCUUUUAUUAGGGAAGAUAAUGACGGUACCUAAUGAAUAAGCACCGGCUAACUCCGUGCCAGCAGCCGCGGUAAUACGGAGGGUGCAAGCGUUACUCGGAAUCACUGGGCGUAAAGGGUGCGUAGGCUGGCUUUUAAGUCAGAUGUGAAAUCCAAUGGCUCAACCAUUGAACUGCAUUUGAAACUGAAAGCCUAGAGUUCAGAAGGGGCAGAUGGAAUUAGUGGUGUAGGGGUAAAAUCCGUAGAUAUCACUAGGAAUAUCAAAAGCGAAGGCGAUCUGCUGGGAUGAUACU
Molecule: ribosomal RNA, 609 nt
Filed under: uncultured bacterium
Lineage: Bacteria
Description: bacterial SSU rRNA
Rfam family: Bacterial small subunit ribosomal RNA
Source: RNAcentral